This 277-nucleotide microRNA precursor is filed under the name Malus domestica (apple). RNAcentral describes it as "miR11002b stem-loop (mdm-MIR11002b)". Lineage: Eukaryota; Viridiplantae; Streptophyta; Magnoliopsida; Rosales; Rosaceae. The record is from miRBase by way of RNAcentral.
CCUACUCCAACUACUCCUAGUCACCGCCGAAGCUCAUCUUCACUGCCGGUAAAGUUCCUUUUCUUUCUCUAUCUCUCUCAAGAUCUUUCUCUCUUGAAUUCUCGCACUAGAUCGUGAUCAAUUCAUCCAUCCAGUCAAACAACAAAUGUUUUGUGGAGUUGGAAAUUUGAGAAUAGAAGAUAUAGUGAAGAAUUCGAUAGAGAAGGAGAGAGAUAGAGAAGGAACUUUGCGGUCAGUGAGGAUGAGCUUCGGCGGUGACUGGGGUGGUUGGAAUCUU